UCAUUAUUUUACCAUGUGUGGCAGAGCAUGAGACUCUUAAUCCCAGGGCCAUGGGUUCGAGCCCCACGUUGGGAA
This is a non-coding RNA of Podarcis lilfordi (Lilford's wall lizard), 75 nucleotides long. The record is from the annotation of a GenBank genome assembly. NCBI's taxonomy places the organism in Eukaryota, Metazoa, Chordata, Lepidosauria, Squamata, Lacertidae.